UCCCUUUCCCCCCUCAGAAAUUUCCCUUGUUACCUGAGGCAUCCGCUAUACGUUGCACGUUAUAGGACUUUGCUUGCUUGGGGAGCUUCAGUAGUACCCUUCCCUCCAGAGUGCAGAGAGGCAUCCAGAAGACUGCCCUGCAACCCUUUGUGGUUAGUAGAGGAUCCAGGGAAAGGGGUACCUAGGAGGACACGUGACCUUGUGAAGGGAGCCAGAACUGAAGCAGCACUUGGCACGCUGAAGGGAGGAAGCACCCAUCUUUGGUGUCCUUCUCAUCUUCCACUCUUUUCCUCACGCAAUUUCUGAAGUUCCAUUGAAAGGAGACCUUGAAGGUUGCAAGACAACUCCAAGAUGUGCAGUUCAGUUGCUCCCAGGCUGUGGUUCUUAACAGACCGUCGCAUCAGAGAAGAUUACCCUCAGCAGGAGAUCCUGAGAGCACUGAAGGCCAAGUGCUGUGAAGAGGAGCUAGAUUUCCGGGCCUUGGUGAUGGAUGAGGUGGUGCUGACCAUUGAGGAUGGAAAUCUCGGUCUCCGAGUGAAUGGCGAGCUCAUUACUGCUUACCCACAGGUGGUGGUUGUGCGUGUACCAACACCUUGGGUCCAGAGUGACAGUGAUAUCACAGUCCUUCGCCACCUAGAGAAGAUGGGCUGUCGAUUGAUGAAUCGUCCCCAGGCCAUCCUCAACUGUGUCAACAAGUUCUGGACAUUUCAAGAACUUGCUGGUCAUGGUGUGCCUCUUCCAGACACUUUUUCAUAUGGUGGUCAUGAGAAUUUUGCCAAAAUGAUUGAUGAGGCGGAAGUGCUGGAGUUCCCUAUGGUGGUGAAGAACACGCGGGGUCACCGAGGUAAAGCUGUAUUCCUGGCGCGAGACAAGCACCAUUUGGCAGACUUAAGCCACUUGAUCCGUCACGAUGCCCCUUACUUAUUUCAAAAAUACGUGAAAGAGUCCCAUGGCAAGGAUGUGCGUGUCAUCGUAGUAGGAGGCCGUGUGGUGGGCACCAUGCUUCGCUGCUCGACAGACGGGAGGAUGCAGAGUAACUGCUCACUUGGUGGCGUAGGGAUGAUGUGCUCACUGAGUGAACAAGGCAAGCAGUUGGCGGUCCAAGUGUCAAACAUCCUGGGGAUGGACGUAUGUGGCAUUGACCUGCUGAUGAAGGACGACGGUUCAUUCUACGUCUGCGAGGCCAAUGCAAAUGAGCCAAAAAAAGUCAAAAUCCAGAGAAAACCUUCCCUUCUCCCCUUUCUGAUGGCGAGAGUGAGAACUUAUGAAAAGUCCUUGAGAAUGUUCCUUCCUAAACUUUUCCCCCCAGUAAUGCAAGCGGGUAAAAUGGUAAAUGCAGCAGUUUGGUGACAUCCAAAACCCACCUGUUGUCAGACACACCCACUUCUUGCGUCUCAGCACUGGGCAGGCCUAUUCCUUUAUUUGUGUAUAUUUUUGUGCAACAGCUGCUAUAGGACACGGGUGUAACACUUUCAGGCAUGUGUUGGGUGUCUUUGGGGAAGAGAUUUGUGGGUUUGUAACAAUGCCUAAAAAAAGAGAAUUUCUUUUCCUCAGAUUUGUGAACAAAUUGAUGUUAGCUCACAGUUUUGCAUCUCUUAACCUGAUUUCAUAUAUGUUAUGUGAAGGUUUGUUCUUGUAAGAAAGACAGUGCUAGUUCUUUGCAGUGUCUUCACAUACUCUUUGGUGGGGAGAGUUGAUAAAAAUUUCAUUCUGCAGAAGUUACUAACUUAAUAUUUAAUGUUGGUUGAAAGGUAGUUUUACAGAUCAUACUCUUUCCUCUUUACGUAGUGGCUUUCAGAGCCUUAUGUUGAUCUUGGUUGUGCCCAGUGCUUUGCCUAGUGUAUGGGGGAAAUGUUGCAGAACUUGAAUAAGCCAUGACGUCUUAGAUGGUGUAGAUGAUAAUUAUGUGCAUGCUGAACAAGAACUUCUUCUAUAUGCCCUUCUGCUGCAACAGAGUAAUAAAACUGGUAGGUGGCAGCAGCAGCAGAAGAAACUCAUGUGACUGACCUGAGAAACCUCCAGUACUGGGAGAAAUGGAUUGCAAAAUGCUAACUCAAGUAAGGGGGACGGAAGAGAAAGGCAGAGUCCCUGAACCGCCACUUUGAAUGCCUCAUGUAUUGUCUUGCAUCCUGCCCCAGGGAAAAGUGCCCUCUACUUUUGAGACCACUGAGCUAGACCUCAUCAAAGAAUUAGUAAUCACAUUGAAGUCAGGAAUGACUCCUAGGUAUGGGAACUAAGCUGGAUCUGAGUUACUGAUAUCCAGGCAACUAGUCUCCAGUGCACAUCAGAUAUCACUGAAGACUAUGAACAGCUGGUGUACUUUACUCAAUAGCUUCUCACUUCUCAUACAGCCUUCAAAAGUAUGUGAAACACAGGCUGGAAAUCCCAGAGCUGAGUUCCUGCAAAGUGAAUGGAAUUGAAUGUGCAAAAUGAAAAAAAGUAUUUUGGAUGGAGAUUUGAAAGGAAUCUUGUUAAAUAUAAUGAUGAGCAAAGUCUAUGUGUGAGAUGAAGCUCAUAGAGAAAGUUUUUUAAAUCAGUCAGACUGGAGAUGUGUGAGAAAGUGAAUUCUGGUGGUAGAGGCAAGGGAGUCUGAAGCAUAUGUUGGUCUGUCAGGAGACAUGAAGAUGAGGCAAUAAACUAGCUUUUGCUGAUCUUGAGUGUUCCCAGCUUUUUGUUGCAAGGAGGAAUCUCACCAGACUUUCUGUACCUAAUAUGUGCUAGGCAUGCUAGGCUUUGGGGACUGGUUAUCAAGAAGGAGAUCUAAAAGCUGAUACAGAACUCUUGAUCUGGAAACUAACCAUAGCACUUGCUGGAAUAGAAUGGUUGUUCAUGUGGAUUAAAAAUGUUACUGCACUGAAUUUAGAUGACAGCAAUACUUGGGAAGAAGGGUGGUCAUCUGGCCCUGAACAUGGGUUUGUUUGUCCAGAUAUACCUGUAGCUUUUGCUUCUCAGCAUAGUAAAGAAUAGAGCUAUAAAAAGAUAUGCAAGCCUUUUUAAUGAGCAAGGGGACCAUUUUAAUGACUUAGUCAUCUGUUAAGAAAAGAUAUUUUGGCUGUACAACAAGCAGGAAUUUAUAGUACUGUCCCAGAUCCUCCAUGUUUCCACAUGGCUGUCAAUACAAAAGGGUAUUUUAUUUCCUAAUAGAUGUGACAUAGCAAAGCAUCCUGUUUUCUUCUGUGGCAGAGAUUUGAAGAAAGCAGAAUAUUUUUCAUUCUUGCCAUAGCCUUUUACAGGCAGGCAAGGGGUAUUAUGUAUGUGAAAGGAGGAAUGGAUAGGUUCCUCAUGCCAUCUGAAAAGGGAGUUAUGGGUUAGGCUGCUAGAAAAGUUAACAUUCACACUGUACUUAGGCAAGGCAUCUUCACGGAAUUUCUGCAUCCCCUUUUUGUUCCAUGGAGAAACACUGCAAGUGUUACUAGAAUAUACAGAGUCUGCAUAGUGGUAUGUCAGUGUAUUAGAGCUCUGCCAAGUGUGUGUGGGGGAAGGGCUCAUAAAAGAUUUAUGUGAAUUUCUGUAUGCUUUUUUUAUUUGGAGGCAGUUUGCCAUGUGCAACUGCAGAUAGUGCUCAUUUUUAGUGUAAUAGAGGGGUUCUUUUGUUUGGAAGGAGGAAAAUGUGUUUGGGGAGUUAAAUACGUCGUUCUGUUGUCCAUUUCUGUAAGGAAGCAGAAUGGUUAAGGGAAAGCAGUCAAAAUGAGUAAGAACUACACAGCUAGUUGUAGUCUGGUGUCAGUUGAAUACUCAUUGAUGUUGCUGAGGAGAAGGCUUUUUGGUCUGUCUUACAGUUAAAGGAGACACUGAGACAGCCAAGAAGGGACUUUGAAAGUGUUUCAGACAGUGAAUUGUGUCUUUUGUUGCCUUUUCUUUUGCUUUCAGAACUCUUUGAUGUGCUUCUGUAGAUGUAUCUUAUUAAAAAAGUGUAGGCUGCUGAAAUGUCUCUGGUGCGUAGGGCUGAGGUUGGUCGAACAAGGGUGUGGAAUGCUCUUUAACCAAGAGUAAUCAGCUGUGCUGAUCUUGGCCUUGAUCAGAUGAGGACAGAGAGUUGCAGUCUAGCACAGGUUUUGCUGGACUGCAUUUAUUGCAAUAUAUGCAGUAGUAGCAGAAGCCUUUGUCAGUAGUAACCUGUAUAGCUGUCACUAGAAAGUGCAGUUGCUUUUGAUCAGUGAUGAAUAUUUAAAUUUCCCUUACCAUGUAAUGCUUUUCAUUUUCCUGACUACAGCUAUUCUGUUACGUUAAUCUGUGGUUUAUUGUAGUAUAUUUACAGUUUUCCAUAUCAGGACUGAAUUUCUGUCUUAGAGAAAUUGCACUGUAAUUGAGGUGUGGAGAGGAAACGAAGUUUUAUUAGAGGUCA
This is an RNA transcript of Neopsephotus bourkii (Bourke's parrot), 4345 nucleotides long. It is a transcript of the gene named ribosomal modification protein rimK like family member B, with no coding region annotated. Lineage: Eukaryota; Metazoa; Chordata; Aves; Psittaciformes; Psittacidae. The record is from RefSeq and is a predicted model, not a curated record. The transcript has 9 exons.